AUGGGGUUCACCGCCAUAGCCAUAUCGUCCUCCAACCCAAAGCCCCGCUCCGAGACCCCUCGCAACGCGGCCCUCGCGUCCGCCAUCUCCGCCGCUUCGGGCAGCACCGGUCUUCCUCACCCCGGCAGCGAAGAUGGCGGCCGCGGCUUGGGAGGCCUCCUAUCGUGGCUCUUCAACGCCGGCGCGGCGCACGCCGCGGAGGAGAAGCCGCCAUCGAGGGACUGGGACGCGCACGAGUUCGGGGCCAGGACGACGGUGCCGUUCGCGAGGCUGCAAGGGGCCAAGAGGUACAAGGUUUCGGACGUCAGGUUCCUCGACCGCCGCGCGCCCGGCGGCGGCGGGGGCGCGCGCCUCACGGCGGGGCCCGACGACCCCCUGUUCGAGGGCGCGGCGCUGCGGCCCGGCGAGGUGUACACCCGGUCGCAGCUGCUCGGGGAGCUCGAGGCGCUGUCCUCGUGCGGCAUGUUCGACGGCGUCAGCGUGGAGGCGGUCCGGCCCCAGCCCGACGGCACCCUCGGUCUAACCGUCUCCUACGCCGAGGCCCUCUGGGCCCCGGCGAAGCGGUUCAGCUGCGUCAACAUGGGCGGCCUCUUGCCGGCGCAGGCCGACGAGGUCGAGGACGACGACAUGACGGAGAGGGAGAAGAUCGCGCUCCGGCGGAGGCAUGAGAGGGCGUAUCAGCAGCGCCUCGGGCGGGCCAAGGCGUGCAUCCUGCCGGAGCCCGUGCGCGGAGAGGUGGUGGAGAUGGUGAGGAAGCAGGGACGGGUGAGCGCCAGGCUGCUGCAGAGGAUCAGGGACUGCGUCCAGAGGUGGUACUACGACGAGGGGUUCGUGUGCGCUCAGGUGAUCAACUUCGGGAAUCUCGACGCCGGCGAGGUUUUGUGCGAGGUCGUCGAGGGGGAGGUAACGGGGGUGGAGUACCAGUUCCAAGACAAGCUCGGCAAUGUCGUCGAGGGGAACACCCAGCUCCCUGUAAUUGACAGGGAGCUGCCCCGGCAGCUUCGACCAGGCAAUAUCUUUAAUAUUGGGGCAGGGAAACAGGCUCUGAAGAACAUAAAUGCGCUCGGAUUAUUCUCUAACAUAGAGGUGAAUCCACGACCUGAUGAGACAAAAGAAGGGGGCGUAGUGGUUGAAAUCAAGCUCAAAGAACAAGAUCCCAAAUCAGCCGAUGUGGAGACAAUGUGGAACUUUGUACCAGGGGAUCAGGGACGACCAACUCUUGCAUCCAUUCAACCUGGAGGAGGUGUGACAUUUGAGCACCGCAACAUCGGUGGCCUGAACCGAUCUCUCGCUGGUUCUUUCUCAUCGAGCAACCUGCUCAAUCCUCAGGAUGAUGUUUCAUUCAAGCUUGAGUACACACAUCCUUACUUGGACGGUGUGGAGGACCGGAGCAGGAACCGCAUCUUCAAAGCCAGUUGUUUCAACACCAAGAAACUCAGCCCUGUCUUUGUCGCCGGCCCCAACAUGGACGAUGCUCCACCCAUCUGGGUCGACAGAGUUGGAAUCAAAGCGAACAUAACAGAGAACCUCACAAAGCAGAGCAAGUUCACCUAUGGCCUCGUGCUGGAGGAGAUCACGGCGCGUGACGAGAGCAAUGAUGUGUGCACACACGGGCUCCGGACGACGGCCCCCGGUGCCCUUGGCAUGGAUGGCCCCCCCACGACGUUCAGCGGCACCGGUGUGGACAGGAUGGCGUUUCUUCAGGCCAAUGUUACCCGGGAUAAUACGGAGUUCAUCAAUGGCGAGACCAUCGGCGACAGAUGCAUCUUCCAGGUGGACCAGGGCCUGGGCAUCGGGAGCAGGAACCCGUUCUUCAACCGCCAUCAGCUGACGGUCACAAAGUUCGUGAACCUAAACAAGCAGGAGAAGGGAGCCGGGAAGCCGCCGCCGGCCGUUCUUGUCGCCCAUGGCCGCUACGCAGGGUGUGUGGGAGACCUGCCGAGCUACGACGCGUUCGCGCUCGGAGGGCCUCACUCGGUCAGGGGCUACGGCAUGGGCGAACUCGGAGCCUGUAGGAACCUUCUCGAGGUCGCGACGGAGGUGCGCAUCCCUGUCCCAGUGAUGAAGAACACGCACGUGUACGCUUUUGCCGAGCAUGGCACGGACCUCGGGAGCUCCAAGGACGUCAAGGGGAACCCUACCGAGUUCUUCUGGCGCGCCGGCCAGGGAUCGUCGUACGGCGUGGGCGUCCGGUUUGGCCCGCUCAGGGCGGAGUACGCCGUCGACCACAACGCCGGCACGGGAUCCGUCUUCUUCAGAUACGGCGACAGGUUCUAG
This 2277-nucleotide ribosomal RNA is filed under the name Triticum aestivum (bread wheat). RNAcentral's name for it is "partial small subunit ribosomal RNA". Lineage: Eukaryota; Viridiplantae; Streptophyta; Magnoliopsida; Poales; Poaceae. The record is from RNAcentral.